This 253-nucleotide ribosomal RNA is filed under the name uncultured bacterium. Its description in RNAcentral is "partial 16S ribosomal RNA". It matches the Rfam family "Bacterial small subunit ribosomal RNA", at positions 524 to 776 of the family's 1533-position model. The record is from RNAcentral.
UACGUAGGGUGCAAGCGUUAAUCGGAAUUACUGGGCGUAAAGCGUGCUCAGGCGGUUCGCUAAGACAGAUGUGAAAUCCCCGGGCUUAACCUGGGAACUGCAUUUGUGACUGGCGGGCUAGAGUAUGGCAGAGGGGGUAGAAUUCCACGUGUAGCAGUGAAAUGCGUAGAGAUGUGGAGGAAUACCGAUGGCGAAGGCAGCCCCCUGGGCCAAUACUGACGCUCAUGCACGAAAGGCGUGGGGAGCGAACAGG